GAUGAACGCUAGCUACAGGCUUAACACAUGCAAGUCGAGGGGAAACGACAUCGAAAGCUUGCUUUUGAUUGGCGUCGACCGGCGCACGGGUGAGUAACGCGUAUCCAACCUGCCCAUCACUUGGGAAUAACCUUGCGAAAGUAAGACUAAUACCCAAUGAUAUCCCACGAAGGCAUCGGAAUGGGAUUAAAGUUUUAUCGGUGAUGGAUGGGGAUGCGUCUGAUUAGCUUGUUGGCGGGGUAACGGCACACCAAGGCAACGAUCAGUAGGGGUUCUGAGAGGAAGGUACACCACAAUGGAACUGAGACACGGACCAAAAUCCUACGGGAGGCAGCAGUGAGGAAUAUUGGUCAAUGGACGAGAGCCUGAACCAGCCAAGUAGCGUGCAGGAAGACGGCCCUAUGGGUUGUAAACUGCUUUUAUAAGGGAAUAAAGUGGGUCACGUGUGACUUUUUGCAUGUACCUUAUGAAUAAGGACCGGCUAAUUCCGUG
This 492-nucleotide ribosomal RNA is filed under the name uncultured bacterium. RNAcentral's name for it is "partial 16S ribosomal RNA". It matches the Rfam family "Bacterial small subunit ribosomal RNA", at positions 28 to 507 of the family's 1533-position model. The record is from RNAcentral.